This 206-nucleotide unclassified non-coding RNA is filed under the name Hevea brasiliensis (rubber tree). Lineage: Eukaryota; Viridiplantae; Streptophyta; Magnoliopsida; Malpighiales; Euphorbiaceae. The record is from RNAcentral.
AAAAAAUGUAACAUAGACUAUUGGAAGAGAAAGUACGAACUAUUUAAGAUGAAAGAUGGUGAAACUAUUCAGGAGAUGCAUAGCAGGUUUACAUCUAUUAUCGACAAGAUGGACUCACUUGGGGAGUCACUACCAAGUGGCAAAGCUGUAAGGAAGUUUUUUAGUGUACUGCCUAGUUCAUGGGUAAGUAAAGUUGAAGCAAGUGA